GGGGAAUAUUGGACAAUGGGCGCAAGCCUGAUCCAGCCAUACCGCGUGGGUGAAGAAGGCCUUCGGGUUGUAAAGCCCUUUUGUUGGGAAAGAAAUCCAGCCGGCUAAUACCUGGUUGGGAUGACGGUACCCAAAGAAUAAGCACCGGCUAACUUCGUGCCAGCAGCCGCGGUAAUACGAAGGGUGCAAGCGUUACUCGGAAUUACUGGGCGUAAAGCGUGCGUAGGUGGUCGUUUAAGUCCGUUGUGAAAGCCCUGGGCUCAACCUGGGAACUGCAGUGGAUACUGGGCGACUAGAGUGUGGUAGAGGGUAGCGGAAUUCCUGGUGUAGCAGUGAAAUGCGUAGAGAUCAGGAGGAACAUCCAUGGCGUAGGCAGCUUACUAAGCCAUAACUGACGCUCAUGCACGAAAGCGUGGGGAUCAAACA
Molecule: ribosomal RNA, 426 nt
Filed under: uncultured Stenotrophomonas sp.
Lineage: Bacteria; Pseudomonadati; Pseudomonadota; Gammaproteobacteria; Lysobacterales; Lysobacteraceae
Description: bacterial SSU rRNA
Rfam family: Bacterial small subunit ribosomal RNA
Source: RNAcentral